AAGGGUUUAGCUUAAUAAAAGCGAAUGAUUUGCAUUCAUUAGAUGUGAGAUGAGUUCUUGCAAUCCUUA
RNAcentral lists this transfer RNA (69 nucleotides) under Eozapus setchuanus (Chinese jumping mouse). Its description in RNAcentral is "tRNA-Ala". It matches the Rfam family "tRNA". From Rfam's summary of the family: Transfer RNA (tRNA) molecules are approximately 80 nucleotides in length. Lineage: Eukaryota; Metazoa; Chordata; Mammalia; Rodentia; Dipodidae. The record is from RNAcentral.